Molecule: non-coding RNA, 45 nt
Organism: Schistosoma mattheei
Lineage: Eukaryota; Metazoa; Platyhelminthes; Trematoda; Strigeidida; Schistosomatidae
Source: Rfam
CUCCAGCCGACGAGUCCCAAAUACGACGAAACGCGCGUCCUGGAU